GGAGAGAUGGCCGAGUGGUCGAAGGCACCCGCUUGCUAAGCGGGCAUACUGAAAGGUAUCGAGGGUUCAAAUCCCUCUCUCUCCGCCA
This 88-nucleotide transfer RNA is filed under the name Sandaracinaceae bacterium. RNAcentral describes it as "tRNA-Ser". It matches the Rfam family "tRNA". Rfam says of the family: Transfer RNA (tRNA) molecules are approximately 80 nucleotides in length. Their secondary structure includes four short double-helical elements and three loops (D, anti-codon, and T loops). The record is from RNAcentral. Lineage: Bacteria; Pseudomonadati; Myxococcota; Polyangiales; Sandaracinaceae.